GGUUAAGUGACUAAGCGUACACGGUGGAUGCCUAGGCAGUCAGAGGCGAUGAAGGGCGUGCUAAUCUGCGAAAAGCGUCGGUAAGGUGAUAUGAACCGUUAUAACCGGCGAUACCCGAAUGGGGAAACCCAGUGUGUUUCGACACACUAUCAUGUCAUGAAUACAUAGUGGCAUGAGGCGAACCGGGGGAACUGAAACAUCUAAGUACCCCGAGGAAAAGAAAUCAACCGAGAUUCCCCCAGUAGCGGCGAGCGAACGGGGAGGAGCCCAGAACCUGAAUCGGCUUGUGUGUUAGUGGAAGCGUCUGGAAAGUCGCGCAGCAAAGGGUGAUAGCCCCGUACACUAAAAUGCACAGGUCGUGAGUUCGAUGAGUAGGGCGGGACACGUGACAUCCUGUCUGAAUAUGGGGGGACCAUCCUCCAAGGCUAAAUACUCCUGACUGACCGAUAGUGAACCAGUACCGUGAGGGAAAGGCGAAAAGAACCCCGGCGAGGGGAGUGAAAUAGAACCUGAAACCGUGUACGUACAAGCAGUGGGAGCACCUUCGUGGUGUGACUGCGUACCUUUUGUAUAAUGGGUCAGCGACUUAUAUUUUGUAGCAAGGUUAACCGUAUAGGGGAGCCGUAGGGAAACCGAGUCUUAACUGGGCGAAUAGUUGCAAGGUAUAGACCCGAAACCCGGUGAUCUAGCCAUGGGCAGGUUGAAGGUUGGGUAACACUAACUGGAGGACCGAACCGACUAAUGUUGAAAAAUUAGCGGAUGACUUGUGGCUGGGGGUGAAAGGCCAAUCAAACCGGGAGAUAGCUGGUUCUCCCCGAAAGCUAUUUAGGUAGCGCCUCGUGAACUCAUCUUCGGGGGUAGAGCACUGUUUCGGCUAGGGGGCCAUCCCGGCUUACCAAACCGAUGCAAACUCCGAAUACCGAAGAAUGUUAUCACGGGAGACACACGGCGGGUGCUAACGUCCGUCGUGAAGAGGGAAACAACCCAGACCGCCAGCUAAGGUCCCAAAGUCAUGGUUAAGUGGGAAACGAUGUGGGAAGGCACAGACAGCCAGGAUGUUGGCUUAGAAGCAGCCAUCAUUUAAAGAAAGCGUAAUAGCUCACUGGUCGAGUCGGCCUGCGCGGAAGAUGUAACGGGGCUAAACCAUGCACCGAAGCUGCGGCAGCGACGCUUAGGCGUUGUUGGGUAGGGGAGCGUUCUGUAAGCCGUUGAAGGUGGCCUGUGAGGGUUGCUGGAGGUAUCAGAAGUGCGAAUGCUGACAUAAGUAACGAUAAAGCGGGUGAAAAGCCCGCUCGCCGGAAGACCAAGGGUUCCUGUCCAACGUUAAUCGGGGCAGGGUGAGUCGACCCCUAAGGCGAGGCUGAAAAGCGUAGUCGAUGGGAAACAGGUUAAUAUUCCUGUACUUGGUGUUACUGCGAAGGGGGGACGGAGAAGGCUAGGCUGGCCGGGCGACGGUUGUCCCGGUUUAAGCGUGUAGGGGGUGUGACCUGGUAAAUCCGGUUGCAUAUCAACCCUGAGGCGUGAUGACGAUGCACUACGGUGCAGAAGUAGUUGAUGCCCUGCUUCCAGGAAAAUCCUCUAAGCUCCAGGUAACAUUAAAUCGUACCCCAAACCGACACAGGUGGUCAGGUAGAGAAUACCAAGGCGCUUGAGAGAACUCGGGUGAAGGAACUAGGCAAAAUGGUGCCGUAACUUCGGGAGAAGGCACGCUGGCAUGUAGGUGAAGUCCCUUGCGGAUGGAGCUGAAGCCAGUCGAAGAUACCAGCUGGCUGCAACUGUUUAAUAAAAACACAGCACUGUGCAAACACGAAAGUGGACGUAUACGGUGUGACGCCUGCCCGGUGCUGGAAGGUUAAUUGAUGGGGUCAGCCGCAAGGCGAAGCUCUUGAUCGAAGCCCCAGUAAACGGCGGCCGUAACUAUAACGGUCCUAAGGUAGCGAAAUUCCUUGUCGGGUAAGUUCCGACCUGCACGAAUGGCGUAAUGAUGGCCAGGCUGUCUCCACCCGAGACUCAGUGAAAUUGAACUCGCUGUGAAGAUGCAGUGUACCCGCGGCAAGACGGAAAGACCCCGUGAACCUUUACUAUAGCUUGACACUGAACAUUGAGCCUUGAUGUGUAGGAUAGGUGGGAGGCUUUGAAGCGUGGACGCCAGUCUGCGUGGAGCCAUCCUUGAAAUACCACCCUUUAAUGUUUGAUGUUCUAACUCGGCCCCGUGAUCCGGGGUGAGGACAGUGUCUGGUGGGUAGUUUGACUGGGGCGGUCUCCUCCCAAAGAGUAACGGAGGAGCACGAAGGUUAGCUAAUCACGGUCGGACAUCGUGAGGUUAGUGCAAAGGCAUAAGCUAGCUUGACUGCGAGAGUGACGGCUCGAGCAGGUACGAAAGUAGGUCUUAGUGAUCCGGUGGUUCUGAAUGGAAGGGCCAUCGCUCAACGGAUAAAAGGUACUCCGGGGAUAACAGGCUGAUACCGCCCAAGAGUUCAUAUCGACGGCGGUGUUUGGCACCUCGAUGUCGGCUCAUCACAUCCUGGGGCUGAAGUAGGUCCCAAGGGUAUGGCUGUUCGCCAUUUAAAGUGGUACGCGAGCUGGGUUUAGAACGUCGUGAGACAGUUCGGUCCCUAUCUGCCGUGGGCGUUGGAAGAUUGAGAGGGGUUGCUCCUAGUACGAGAGGACCGGAGUGAACGCACCACUGGUGUUCGGGUUGUCAUGCCAAUGGCAUUGCCCGGUAGCUAAGUGCGGAAAAGAUAAGCGCUGAAAGCAUCUAAGCGCGAAACUUGCCUCAAGAUGAGUCUUCCCUGGGCCUUUAAGGUCCCUGAAGGAACGUUUAAGACUAAGACGUUGAUAGGCUGGGUGUGUAAGUGCAGCGAUGCAUUGAGCUAACCAGUACUAAUGAUCCGUGAGGCUUAACCUUACAACACCGAAGGUGUUUUA
Molecule: ribosomal RNA, 2928 nt
Filed under: Serratia marcescens SMB2099
Lineage: Bacteria; Pseudomonadati; Pseudomonadota; Gammaproteobacteria; Enterobacterales; Yersiniaceae
Description: bacterial LSU rRNA
Rfam family: Bacterial large subunit ribosomal RNA
Source: RNAcentral